CACCAUGGGAGUUGGCCACGCCCGAAGUCGUUACCCUAACUUUUUUAGAGGGGGACGCCGAAGGCAGGGCUGGUGACUGGGGUGAAGUCGUAACAAGGUAGCCGUACUGGAAGGUGCGGCUGGAUCACCUCCUUU
This 135-nucleotide ribosomal RNA is filed under the name Glaucocystis nostochinearum. Its description in RNAcentral is "partial 16S ribosomal RNA". It matches the Rfam family "Bacterial small subunit ribosomal RNA", at positions 1400 to 1533 of the family's 1533-position model. Lineage: Eukaryota; Glaucocystophyceae; Glaucocystales; Glaucocystaceae. The record is from RNAcentral.